RNAcentral lists this ribosomal RNA (464 nucleotides) under uncultured bacterium. Its description in RNAcentral is "partial 16S ribosomal RNA". It matches the Rfam family "Bacterial small subunit ribosomal RNA", at positions 29 to 507 of the family's 1533-position model. The record is from RNAcentral.
ACGAACGCUGGCGGCGUGCUUAACACCUGCCGGUCGAACGGAAAGGCCCCUUUGGGGGUACUCGAGUGGCGAACGGGUGAGUAACACGUGAGUAACCUGCCCUUGACUUCGGGAUAACUUCAGGAAACUGGGGCUAAUACCGGAUAGGAAUCCUUGCUGCAUGGUGGGGGUUGGAAAGCUUCGGCGGUUUUGGAUGGACUCGCGGCUUAUCAGCUUGUUGGUGGGGUAGUGGCUUACCAAGGCUUUGACGGGUAGCCGGCCUGAGAGGGCGACCGGCCACAUUGGGACUGAGAUACGGCCCAGACUCCUACGGGAGGCAGCAGUGGGGAAUAUUGCACAAUGGGCGGAAGCCUGAUGCAGCAACGCCGCGUGCGGGAUGACGGCCUUCGGGUUGUAAACCGCUUUCAGCAGGGGCGAAGCUUGUGGUGACGGUACCUGCAGAAGAAGCACCGGCUAACUACGUG